This is a long non-coding RNA of Prosopis cineraria, 742 nucleotides long. RefSeq lists it as uncharacterized. The record is from RefSeq and is a predicted model, not a curated record. NCBI's taxonomy places the organism in Eukaryota, Viridiplantae, Streptophyta, Magnoliopsida, Fabales, Fabaceae. The transcript has 2 exons.
UCAAAGCAUAACCUUUGUGAUGAAGACUUAAGAAAUCCUCAACCUUCUAGGGGCAGCCGAUCCCCUUAAUAUUCUCAGUUGCACGUACAAUGCAUUUAGUAAGCCUUGAUAUUUCGUGUUUGCAGUGAGGGGUCUCUGGAGGUACCAGUGAAGCAGAAAGAGGUGCUAUGCAAACAUGAUGAGCAAUCCACAAGGGACCAGUAUCAAGUCCAGAAUCAGGAGUGAAUUUUGUUGCUGACAUGCAAGAGAUUUAUUGCUGAUGUGUGGUUUCUGUUAAUUAAGGACAAACUUCAAGAAGCGACCUUAAACCAAAGAAUGGUGUUAUCUUGUAGCGACUGAACCCUGCUUCCAAGAAGAGCUUCUUCCAUUCUCUUUCCUCUCUUUCUCUUCCUGUGACAGCAACCAUCAUCAAUAAAUCGAAGUACAGUUUUGGUUCUGUCACCUCAUGCUUAUCCUUCUUCUCAUUUAUCACUAUGUCUAUUAUUAUCACUUUUCCUUCUUUCCCUUUCCCUGAAAUAGCCUCUCUGCAUUUCUUCAGUAUCCUUACACAGUCUUCAUCACUGCAAGCAUGUAAUAUCAGCUGCCAAUUUCCAAUUACCAGAAAUAUCAAUCUCAAAACUUCAGUAACUCUCCUUGUUUCUCUUGUUAGUUCUCAUGCUAUUUGUAGGUUACAAUAUUUUACAUAGCAUCUUAUGUUAAGUGAACAGCAAUAUAUUUCGAUCUUGGUAUAGUUUUCUUUCAA